GGGGGGGGGGGGGGGCGGGGCGGGCGCGGGCGGGGCGAGCGAGGGCUGCGGGGCUGGUGGCGCGCGGGUGCGUAACGCGGGGGACCCUGCCCUUAGGUUCGCACUACCUCCCCGACAGGGGUGCUAGUACCGGCUACUGUCUUCGGACCAAAGAUUUAUCGCCUUUGGAUGGGCCCGCGUUGGAUUAGCUAGUUGGUAGGGUAAAAGCCUACCAAGGCGACGAUCCAUAGCUGGUCUGAGAGGAUGAUCAGCCACACUGGGACUGAGACACGGCCCAGACUCCUACGGGAGGCAGCAGUGGGGAAUAUUGGACAAUGGGCGAAAGCCUGAUCCAGCAAUGCCGCGUGAGUGAUGAAGGCCUUAGGGUUGUAAAGCUCUUUUACCCGGGAUGAUAAUGACAGUACCGGGAGAAUAAGCUCCGGCUAACUCCGUG
RNAcentral lists this ribosomal RNA (433 nucleotides) under uncultured bacterium. RNAcentral's name for it is "partial 16S ribosomal RNA". It matches the Rfam family "Bacterial small subunit ribosomal RNA", at positions 27 to 507 of the family's 1533-position model. The record is from RNAcentral.